AUCUGUCUCGAUUGUUUCCAG
Molecule: microRNA, 21 nt
Filed under: Homo sapiens (human)
Lineage: Eukaryota; Metazoa; Chordata; Mammalia; Primates; Hominidae
Description: hsa-miR-6888-3p
Source: miRBase by way of RNAcentral